RNAcentral lists this transfer RNA (85 nucleotides) under Armatimonadota bacterium. RNAcentral's name for it is "Armatimonadetes bacterium (activated sludge metagenome) tRNA-Leu". It matches the Rfam family "tRNA". Rfam says of the family: Transfer RNA (tRNA) molecules are approximately 80 nucleotides in length. Their secondary structure includes four short double-helical elements and three loops (D, anti-codon, and T loops). Further hydrogen bonds mediate the characteristic L-shaped molecular structure. tRNAs have two regions of fundamental functional importance: the anti-codon, which is responsible for specific mRNA codon recognition, and the 3' end, to which the tRNAs corresponding amino acid is attached (by aminoacyl-tRNA synthetases). tRNAs cope with the degeneracy of the genetic code in two manners: having more than one tRNA (with a specific anti-codon) for a particular amino acid; and 'wobble' base-pairing, i.e. permitting non-standard base-pairing at the 3rd anti-codon position. The record is from RNAcentral. Lineage: Bacteria; Bacillati; Armatimonadota.
GCGCGGGUGGUGAAAUUGGUAGACACGCUACCUUGAGGUGGUAGUGCUGCAAGGCGUGAAGGUUCGAGUCCUUUCCCGCGCACCA